CGUAGGGUGCGGGCGUUAAUCGGAAUUACUGGGCGUAAAGCGUGCGCAGGCGGUUUCUUAAGUCAGAUGUGAAAGCCCCGGGCUUAACCUGGGAACUGCGUUUGAAACUGGGAGACUUGAGUGUGGCAGAGGGGGGUGGAAUUCCACGUGUAGCAGUGAAAUGCGUAGAUAUGUGGAGGAACACCGAUGGCGAAGGCAGCCCCCUGGGUUAACACUGACGCUCAUGCACGAAAGCGUGGGGAGCAAACAGGAUUAGAUACCCUGGUAGUCCACGCCCUAAACUAUGUCAACUGGUUGUCGGGGGAUUAACUCCCUUGGUAACGAAGCUAACGCGUGAAGUUGACCGCCUGGGGAGUACGGCCGCAAGGUUA
RNAcentral lists this ribosomal RNA (371 nucleotides) under uncultured organism. RNAcentral's name for it is "bacterial SSU rRNA". It matches the Rfam family "Bacterial small subunit ribosomal RNA", at positions 526 to 896 of the family's 1533-position model. The record is from RNAcentral.